Phlebotomus papatasi is the source of this 399-nucleotide long non-coding RNA. RefSeq lists it as uncharacterized. The transcript is spliced from 2 exons. The record is from RefSeq and is a predicted model, not a curated record. NCBI's taxonomy places the organism in Eukaryota, Metazoa, Arthropoda, Insecta, Diptera, Psychodidae.
AUCACGAUAUUUCCCUUCCACAUCGACUAAUUUUCGGUAUAAAUACUGCGCUGUUUUCCUCAGUCAUCAUCGUCAGUUCAACUUGCCAACUGAAGUCAAUCCAACAAUCAAUCCAAGAUGAUGAAAUUCUUGAUCUUCGCCUUCUUCGUAGCCUUCGCUGUGGCCACUGCUUUUGCUGCUCCUGAACCCAACCCAGCUCCUCGUCCCAUGCCAGCACCUCUUCCAUACCCUCAGCAUGGAUAUUACCCACCCACUUACUAUUAUUCAUACUACUAAUUCAACAAAUGCAAUAUCAACGGAUCUGGACUCAAACACAAGCAGACAUAUGCAGAAAAUGCAGAACUAUAAUUUGUGCCUCCAAAAAUUGAAAUCCCUAAAAUGCACGAAAUAACAGCCAAA